Molecule: transfer RNA, 72 nt
Filed under: Camelus bactrianus (Bactrian camel)
Lineage: Eukaryota; Metazoa; Chordata; Mammalia; Artiodactyla; Camelidae
Also listed under: 2 other names
Rfam family: tRNA
About the family: Transfer RNA (tRNA) molecules are approximately 80 nucleotides in length. Their secondary structure includes four short double-helical elements and three loops (D, anti-codon, and T loops).
Source: Rfam by way of RNAcentral
GAGUGUAUAGAUCAGUGGUAGAGUGUGUGCUUAGCAUGCACAAGAUCCUGAGUUCAAUUCCCAGUACCUCCA